AUACGUAGGGGGCGAGCGUUGUCCGGAAUGAUUGGGCGUAAAGGGCGCGUAGGCGGCGCGGUAAGUCUGGAGUGAACGUCCUGCUUUCAAGGUGGGAAUUGCUUUGGAUACUGCCGCGCUUGAGUGCAGGAGAGGUUAUCGGAAUUCCCGGUGUAGCGGUGAAAUGCGUAGAGAUCGGGAGGAACACCAGUGGCGAAGGCGGGUAACUGGACUGCAACUGACGCUGAGGCGCGAAAGUGUGGGGAGCAAACAGGAUUAGAUACCCUGGUAGUCCACACUGUAAACGAUGAAUGCUAGGUGUAAGAGGUAUCGACCCCUUUUGUGCCGGAGUCAACACAAUAAGCAUUCCGCCUGGGGAGUACGGCCGCAAGGUUGAAACUCAAAUGAAUUGGCGGGG
Molecule: ribosomal RNA, 397 nt
Filed under: uncultured bacterium
Lineage: Bacteria
Description: partial 16S ribosomal RNA
Rfam family: Bacterial small subunit ribosomal RNA
Source: RNAcentral